Molecule: ribosomal RNA, 253 nt
Filed under: uncultured bacterium
Lineage: Bacteria
Description: partial 16S ribosomal RNA
Rfam family: Bacterial small subunit ribosomal RNA
Source: RNAcentral
GACGGAGGAUGCAAGCGUUAUCCGGAAUGAUUGGGCGUAAAGCGUCCGCAGGUGGCAGUUCAAGUCUGCUGUCAAAGACCGGGGCUUAACUUCGGAAAGGCAGUGGAAACUGAACAGCUAGAGUAUGGUAGGGGCAGAGGGAAUUCCUGGUGUAGCGGUGAAAUGCGUAGAUAUCAGGAGGAACACCAAUAGCGAAGGCAGCUCGCUGGGACGUUACUGACACUGAGGCGCGAAAGCGUGGGGAGCGAACAGG